Molecule: ribosomal RNA, 301 nt
Filed under: uncultured bacterium
Lineage: Bacteria
Description: partial 16S ribosomal RNA
Rfam family: Bacterial small subunit ribosomal RNA
Source: RNAcentral
CAGCCGCCACGGUAAUACGUAGGUGGCAAGCGUUGUCCGGAAUUAUUGGGCGUAAAGGGCUCGCAGGCGGUUUCUUAAGUCUGAUGUGAAAGCCCCCGGCUCAACCAGGGAGGGUCAUUGGAAACUGGGAAACUUGAGUGCAGAAGAGGAGAGUGGAAUUCCACGUGUAGCGGUGAAAUGCGUAGAGAUGUGGAGGAACACCAGUGGCGAAGGCGACUCUCUGGUCUGUAACUGACGCUGAGGAGCGAAAGCGUGGGGAGCGAACAGGAUUAGAUACCCGUGUAGUCCCUGUCUCUUAUAC